ACAAAUCCAGGCCUCUGACAUUACCAGAAUGUUCUUGAAAGACACUGGGCUCCGCUUAAAAUAUACAUUAUGGGCCGGGGCAUGUGAACUAAUUGUGUAAUUAAAAUGAUGGACAGGGAGAUUUUCCCUCACCUUUGAGUCCUCUUCUUCCUCUGCACUCCUUUCCUGUCUUCCUGCUUCUUUUUAUUUUAGGAAAGGGAGAAAGGACAACCUAGGAAUGUAGAUGUCCCGGAAGAUGCAGACAUUUAAACCCAAGCGGGAGAAGGAUGGGAGUGGGGGCCGAGGGGUCCGCGCGCGGCCCUGCGAGGGGGCCAGAAGCGGGGAAGAGCCAGCCCGGAGCUGAGCGCCCGCGCUCCGCAGAGCCGGGCCAGGCGCACUGGGGCCAGGGCUAGGGGCGGCCGGGCGGGGAGGCUGGGGUGCGGGACACGGCCACAGACCCAGACACCAGCCCAGGAACAAACUCUUGUGAACUCUGCUCCUCUACAUUCUUUAAGCGCUCGUCCCCAAGCGGGAGACCCGAGCUCCGGGUUUGGGGGAGCUGAGAACCCAUGGCAGACGACGGCGCGGAGGAGCCCCCGAUCUCAGCCCAGGGCGGGCUGGGGGACACAGCCGGGAGGCCGGGCCUGGCUGGCGCGAGCUCGGCGGAGCCCCGGAGAAAGAGGAGCCUGCCGCAGAACCGCCGCCUCCCGGCAGAACCGCCGGGCUGCGGCCUGGAGCCCCGGACCUGGCCGCCGAGCUGGGCCGAGCCGCGCGCAGCCAAGCUCUCGGCCCGGCGCUGCGAGCCCGCCCCGCGCCCCUGGCAAAGCAGAAAGCGCCUGGGCGGAGUGCUGCGGUGCGGGUGGGGGCCGGGCACCGCGGCUCGGGCGCGGCCGCCGGCGGGCUGGGCUGGGCUGCGGGCUGCGCUGCUCGCCCUGCGCCCCGGGCAGAAAAGGAAAUACCCCCCCACACACACACCGCCACGGCAAGUGGGCCCCGGAAACAGCUCGCUGCCUUCAAUUUGGGGACCUAUGUUAAUGAAGUUGGUAAUUAAUUCGUCGCUUUGUUGUCGGUUCUUACACUGUAUGUGUAAUCAAAUGUGGCCGUCCUUGGGAUUUCCAGCAAUUAGCGAAUUACGGAGAGCGCGCGCGGCGGAGGCUCCCGACGCCGGGUCGGGCUCGCGGCUCUGCCCGCGCAGGUGUCCCGGCCCCGCCGGCCGCAGCCCGCCCGCGAGGACCCCGGCGGCCGCGUCCCCGUCCCGGGAGGCACGACUUUCGGGGCCCGGGCUGGGGGAGGGUGAGUACGCGCCCCGCCCCCACCGUGCCCAACACCUGGCCAGGCCCCGCUCGUCCCCGGAGGGAGGGACGGGCCAGCGCCCCGGGCAGUGCGUCCCGGGUAGCGCGGGCUACCGGGACACUGCCGGUGCCCGGGUCACAGCCACGACGCCUGGCACCCGCGCCAUCCCCUAGAGGACAGGCUCCUUGUGCCCCCCACCGGGAAGAGACGGGCUUUCCCCCAGUUUGACCGUAGUGACAACGAAAUCAUCAAAGAGAGAAAAAGGAAAAUGAACUUCGUGGAUCGGGCGCGGGGAGGCCUGGGGGCACUGAAGGGGUGUGGGCAACAGCAGGCGCGCGCGCUGGGGAUUUCCUCGAAGUGAGAAGUGUCGGGCUGGGAGAUCCCUCUGCGGGGAAUCCCUGGAGUCCAGGGGGUGGUUUAGGACGUGGUCAGGUGCUCAAGCGGCCGAACCUCACGGGCGAUGCGGGGCUCCUCUGGCCAGGGCGGGUUGCUACGCGUGGGGCGUGGGAGGGCAUCCCCUUGGCAGCGCCGGCCGCACACAGUCCAGCUUCUCCGGUGCCCUCUCGUCUAAUAACUUCGCCGAAACACCGGCCAAUAAACCACGGGGUGGAAAUGGACAGUGUUAAAUAAACAAGGGUCUCUUUAAAAUUCUCAUCCACUUCAGAUGUCUAAAGUAAGAUUGUGAUGAUUUUGUCACGGUUUGGUAAAUUUACCCCUUUAAGAGGCUUUCAUAAAUCCCAGAACACACCUUCAGCCAGAUUUGAAUAUAGAUUUAGGUUUUAAAACCCAGAAGCUGGAAACACCGCUUUAUCAAAGAGAAUUUCCCUUUAGCUUAGCAAUGUGCUGAAGCUCUUAAAAAGAUUGGAUCUGAGAGAGAGGGUGAGAGAGGGAGAGAGACAGAGAGGAGAAAGGGAACUAAGGGAGACGGAGAUGCAGACUGGGUGGGGGGCUUUCUGUUUCUUUCUAGAAGAUUUCUGCCCAGACUCUGCAGCAGUUGGUAGCAGGCAAGCUUUCUCCUGGGUGUCACUUGGAAAAGUUGCAAAAUUGCUCUUCACCUGUAAGAACACGCUCUUUAUCUUCCAGUCUCUUCUUGUCAAUUUGGAAACUGCAGACAGCCCGGCUCAGUGCCUGUCGGCCAUACCACCCUGGCUUGGAGUCAGAUGACUAUGUACUGAAACCUCUACAAACGGUGGCUGCUGCGUUUCCGGUUUCACUUGUGACCUAGGGGCUGUGUGUCUGCCAGUAGGAGGAAGAGACUCAGAAUCAGCCCAAGAGGCUCUGCAAAGUCCCCUAAAACUCGCCAUCUGAUGCCUUCAUGUGCCUGAAUCGUCACUGCGCAGGAGGAAUAACCAUAUGCUCAGGACACCUUGUUCUCAUCAGAUUCAAAGCCAGUCCUGCCUCAAUUCUUCCUGCUCAGCCAGUGCCUCUGAAGCCUGUGAUGGAAGCCGACAUGCCAGCCACUUGUUUCUCCACUGGAGCGGGGGCACCAGCUCGGGUUGAGGAUCCUGGGAGUUGGCACACUGAAGUUUGCAGAGGCUGCCUAGUGACAGGAAGUCAGUGGAGCGAUGUAGAGCAGGAGUGGGCGACGAAAACACGCUCUCACUCUGUGCAUGGAAGUCCGCUUUGAAAGAGAAGCUUGCUGCCUCCUCCCAGUGCUCCUGGCAACAACACUGUGGGUUUUGCUAUCAAAGAACAAAUGCUUCAAGACAUAUCUCACCCAGACACCACAGCCCUGCCCAGUAGAACUCCAGAGAAGUAACACCAAGCAGGUGAGAAGGUCGGUGCUUCCAGGGGCAUCACGGCUAAGAGGCUGGCUUAAGGUUAUGUGCCCUGCAGUAUGAGUUCACUUUACACUGGCAGAGAGAGAAAACCGAAUUGCCAUCAAACUUCGGCACAAAUGACCAAGGACACCGCCAAGAAAAAGAACCCGCUGGGGCACAUGCGCUGCAGGCUUCGUGGCCUCCUUUGUCCUCAGCCUUCUCCUCCUGAGACUGGCAAGAAAGGCGGUGCCACAGGUUCCGGGUUCCCAUCCUUGCGGCUGUGGUCACCAAGGCAGGAUGCUCCUGUCCCCCGUCCCAUGCGAAGGCUGGGAUUGGCUCUGCAGGGGAGAGCACAUCAGGCCCAUCACUGUGACCCACCACUGAGAACCGAACCGGGUGAUGGGCACGCAGGGACUCGCCAAGCCCAGGUCACCUGCCCGCCGGCGUGCCCCGCUGAUUAAGGAGGCCACUGGCUGGAGUUGCCCUAUUUAUUUACAGUUGUUGUUCACCUGAAAUUCGGAUUUAGCCUGGCACCCUGUGUUUUUUGUGGCAGUUCUGGCACCAGAGUCACACAGGACGGGCCAGAGUAGCUCUUGACAGAGCCAGCAGAUAUGGCCCAGCAAAAUCCAAAUUUCUAAAGACACAGGUUAGUCUCCCUCUCAGGCUCAAGCCCGAGGCCCCGUCGCAGUGCUGGAGACAAGCUGUCCUCUGGGGCUGAGGUCUGGCUGCCACCCAUGCAGGGUCAGUCGUUUCCAUUCACCUGGGACCCAGACAGCAGCCGGGAGGUUUAUGUUGACUACUUUUAAAACCAGCAAUUUCUGUUUCCAAAAGCUGUUGAAAUUCUACUUCAAACUUUAAAUUUGUUUCUCUAGUCAAAUGAACAUUGAUCAUCUAACUAGAUCACAAUGCAUAUGCCACUUAUGCAUUGGGAUUUAUUACAUUCAGAGUUAAAUAUAAUGUUUUAGCUUAAAAUGUAAUGAAAAGACUAGCUGUCUUUUUUCUUUCCCUUUUCUUCUUUUUUCUUAAGAAACCAAGAUAUAUUUUUUUAAAUAUUGAACUAAAAAAAAAAAAUGUAUCUUGCCGAAGGCCUAUGCUAUAAAUUCCUAUUGCAGAAAUCAGUCUAUUUAAUUGAAAAAUAUUUAAGACAACUUUAGCCAAUGGCUCAGAUAUUGCCAACAGUACCAGAUAGUAUUAAAUUAUUGUACAAAAGGAAGGUUUGGAUGACUGGUUGAAAUAUAUUGAAAUGUAAUUUAUUCUUGAAAAUCAGGCUCAAGAAUCAUGACCUUGAGGUAUAUUUAAAAAUGAAGACACAAAAUUUCCAUUUUCUCUUCUCUUAGUCUUAGCAAUCCUCUUGUCCUUUCCUGGAGUCUCACCCUCAUAUAAACUAUAUUAAAGAUGUAGCAAAAUCUAAAAUAGCAGUGUCUAAUAGAAAUGUGCCAGACAAAUAUGUAAUUUAAAAUUUUAUAGUAGCAGCAUUUAAAAAAGUAGUAACAGGUGAAAUCAAUUCAAAUAUCCAAGAUACCGUCAUUUCAACAUGCAAUUAAUAUAAAAUUAUUCAAGAGAUAUUUUACUUUCUUUUUACACAUUCACUUUAUGCUUUUCAUACUCAGACUUUCAAUUUGGACACUCAUUUUUAAUUGAAAAUAUUUAAUCUAUAUUUAAAUAUCAUAAAAUUUACAGGAGAAAGUGUGUUCAUAGACCCACAUUGUUUCAAAUUAUUUUAUAAUUUUUUAAUAACUAGAGUUUCAGUUUUUUGUUCAAAUGAAAAUCAAUUGAAAUUAAAUAUACAGUGGCUACAUUUGGCUACUAUGUUUAGCUGCAAUAUUUAAUAGCACGAAACCAAGGUUACUUUACUUCCUAGUGGAAUUCCAAAAGAUCAUUUCGACCUUAGCUGAAUAAUAUGUGAGCACUUUCUUUACGUUUCUAAGGACUAGUUUUCUAGGAUUGCCAUAACCAAUAGUUGCAAACUUAGUGACUUAAAGCUGCACAGAUUUAUUGUAUUAUAGCCCUGGAGGUCAGAUGUCUGAUGAAGUUCUCUGGGCCAGGCAUGCAGAUGAGCAGUGAUGCUCGCUAUGGCCAGGGCUGUGAGUUCUCUGGAGGCCGGGGGGGGCAGACCCGUCUACACCCUGCCUGUGUGUCCGGGCCAGCCCCUUCUCUCUGUCUCCCAAGCACCCUGGUUUGGAAGGGCGUCCUACAGCCCUUCCCCACAUCUCUCUGAGCACAUUUAAUAGGUUGUGGUGAUGUCUCGCUGUUUUCUUUUCAUUUUCCAUUUCAUGUGAUAGUUUGCUGCCUGUAUAUCUUUUGCAGUGAAGUUUCUAUUAAAACCUUUUGCCCAUUCUUAAA
Molecule: long non-coding RNA, 5375 nt
Organism: Cavia porcellus (domestic guinea pig)
Lineage: Eukaryota; Metazoa; Chordata; Mammalia; Rodentia; Caviidae
Exons: 4
Source: RefSeq, a predicted model, not a curated record